This 394-nucleotide ribosomal RNA is filed under the name uncultured bacterium. RNAcentral describes it as "partial 16S ribosomal RNA". It matches the Rfam family "Bacterial small subunit ribosomal RNA", at positions 523 to 917 of the family's 1533-position model. The record is from RNAcentral.
AUACGUAGGGUGCAAGCGUUAAUCGGAAUUACUGGGCGUAAAGCGUGCGCAGGCGGUUUUGUAAGACAGUGGUGAAAUCCCCGGGCUCAACCUGGGAACUGCCAUUGUGACUGCAAGGCUGGAGUGCGGCAGAGGGGGGUGGAAUUCCGCGUGUAGCAGUGAAAUGCGUAGAUAUGCGGAGGAACACCGAUGGCGAAGGCAAUCCCCUGGGCCUGCACUGACGCUCAUGCACGAAAGCGUGGGGAGCAAACAGGAUUAGAUACCCUGGUAGUCCACGCCCUAAACGAUGUCAACUGGUUGUUGGGGAUUUAUUUUCUCAGUAACGAAGCUAACGCGUGAAGUUGACCGCCUGGGGAGUACGGCCGCAAGGUUAAAACUCAAAUGAAUUGACGGG